Molecule: ribosomal RNA, 305 nt
Filed under: uncultured bacterium
Lineage: Bacteria
Description: bacterial SSU rRNA
Rfam family: Bacterial small subunit ribosomal RNA
Source: RNAcentral
GCCUACGGACGCAGCAGUGAGGAAUAUUGGUCAAUGGGCGCGAGCCUGAACCAGCCAAGUCGCGUGAGGGAAGACGGUCCUAUGGAUUGUAAACCUCUUUUGUCGGGGAGCAAAAGACGCCACGUGUGGCGUUCCGAGAGUACCUGAAGAAAAAGCAUCGGCUAACUCCGUGCCAGCAGCAGCGGUAAUACGGAGGAUGCGAGCGUUAUCCGGAUUUAUUGGGUUUAAAGGGUGCGCAGGCGGAAGAUCAAGUCAGCGGUAAAAUUGAGAGGCUCAACCUCUUCGAGCCGUUGAAACUGGUUUUC